This 450-nucleotide long non-coding RNA is filed under the name Mus spicilegus (steppe mouse). RNAcentral describes it as "lncRNA (ENSMSIG00000030055.1)". The record is from RNAcentral. Lineage: Eukaryota; Metazoa; Chordata; Mammalia; Rodentia; Muridae.
CACAAGCCUGUUUAAUCCCCAGCAGCCAUGUAUAGGUAGAAGAGAAUGUACUCCACAGAGUUGCCCCCUGACCUCUGCACAGGUUGUGUGGCACACACAAUCCCCUUUUUAAUAGUAAAUAAAUAAACAAUAAAACCUGAGCUAUAGGGGAUAUGUUAGAGUCAACCAACAACAGAUGGUAACUCUGAGUCUCUAUGUUUUCUCCUUGGGGUACACAAGGCUACUGCUUGCCAUCUAGUGCUGGGCUGUCUUGAUAUCUGUUGGCAGUGUUUGAAUGUCCUUCCAUGCUGAUCAGGACUCUGGAGUCAGCUACUCAGGAGCUGUGUGCAUCAAGGCUCGAGUCUCAGGACCAGAUGUCAGCCUGAACAGAUAAAAUCAGCUGCUGAGAAGAGCUGUACAGUCUCACAGAGAGAUGAAUUAUACAGAGAAUAAAAACACACUUUAAGACCA